Molecule: ribosomal RNA, 492 nt
Filed under: uncultured bacterium
Lineage: Bacteria
Description: partial 16S ribosomal RNA
Rfam family: Bacterial small subunit ribosomal RNA
Source: RNAcentral
AGUGAACGCUGGCGGUAGGCCUAACACAUGCAAGUCGAACGGCAGCACAGUAAGAGCUUGCUCUUACGGGUGGCGAGUGGCGGACGGGUGAGGAAUACAUCGGAAUCUACUUUUUCGUGGGGGAUGACGUAGGGAAACUUACGCUAAUACCGCAUACGACCUACGGGUGAAAGCAGGGGAUCUUCGGACCUUGCGCGAUUGAAUGAGCCGAUGUCGGAUUAGCUAGUUGGCGGGGUAAAGGCCCACCAAGGCGACGAUCCGUAGCUGGUCUGAGAGGAUGAUCAGCCACACUGGAACUGAGACACGGUCCAGCCGCCUACGGGAGGCAGCAGUGGGGAAUAUUGGACAAUGGGCGCAAGCCUGAUCCAGCCAUACCGCGUGGGUGAAGAAGGCCUUCUGGUUGUAAAGCCCUGUUGGUGGGAAAGAAAAGCAGCAGGUGAAUACCCCGCUGUUCUGACGGUACCCAAAGAAUAAGCACCGGCUAACUUCGUG